CCGCAUCCUCCUCGGACUUGUCUCCCCCGAGUGUCGUGUCGCACACCUGCGCCUCCUCCUCGUCGGACUCGGCUCCCCCCUAGAGCCGUGUCGCACGCCUCAGGUACUUCUGUUCUCCGAGGUUCCUUUGGUUUGGUUCUGCUCAAGGUUUACGAGGGUUGCCUAUCUCUUUCUCUGUGCUCCGUGAUGUCUAGAAGGUCAUGUCUAGUAGGUCCACGAACGAUCCAAGCAAACUGGUCAUGGGGUAGCUGAAAGCACUCUGCGUGGUUUGGAUAUAGCUACCAUGGGUUCAGUAGGGGUGGGUUUGGAUAUGGAUUGUAUUGGCAGUCAGGCAGAGGCGACUAGCUCAUGGAUCUGCUCAUCGGCUGAUCAGAUAGGCAGCGUGAAGGUUUGUCGCGGCUGGUAUGGUAGAUAGAUAGUGAUGACCGGGUAAUUGUUUUCAAGACUGCAAGCCAUUGGCUUGAGCUUGAGGGUGUCCGGUUAAACAAAUGAGGGUGUUCGAUAGCCCCUUGAGAUCCGUGCUUUGCAAGAAUGUUUAGUUUGAUCUAUCUAGUUCCUCUCAGAUAAACCAUACAUGCGUAUUUGUAGCCAUGAGCAUCAGGCACCACUUGUUUAUCCGCGAGAGCAUGAGCAUGUCAUGUAGUAGUAGUCGUUGCAGUUUUUUCAGUGCGUUCUAUUGUGUCGUGUGCCUGUGUGGAGCCAUUUCAGAAGAAAGCAAGGGGAUCCAAAUGCAAGUUUGAGUUAGUUAAUUCCUG
RNAcentral lists this long non-coding RNA (755 nucleotides) under Zea mays. RNAcentral's name for it is "long non-coding RNA NONZMAT002406". The record is from RNAcentral. Lineage: Eukaryota; Viridiplantae; Streptophyta; Magnoliopsida; Poales; Poaceae.